This 301-nucleotide ribosomal RNA is filed under the name uncultured bacterium. Its description in RNAcentral is "partial 16S ribosomal RNA". It matches the Rfam family "Bacterial small subunit ribosomal RNA", at positions 509 to 807 of the family's 1533-position model. The record is from RNAcentral.
CAGUAGCCGCGGGAAUACGGAGGGUGCAAGCGUUAAUCGGAAUUACUGGGCGUAAAGCGCACGCAGGCGGUCUGUCAAGUCAGAUGUGAAAUCCCCGGGCUUAACCUGGGAACUGCAUUUGAAACUGGCAGGCUAGAGUCUUGUAGAGGGGGGUAGAAUUCCAGGUGUAGCGGUGAAAUGCGUAGAGAUCUGGAGGAACAUCAGUGGCGAAGGCGGCCAUCUGGGACAACACUGACGCUGAAGCACGAAAGCGUGGGGAGCAAACAGGAUUAGAGACCCCGGUAGUCCCUGUCUCUUAUAC